This 820-nucleotide ribosomal RNA is filed under the name uncultured bacterium. Its description in RNAcentral is "bacterial SSU rRNA". It matches the Rfam family "Bacterial small subunit ribosomal RNA", at positions 55 to 882 of the family's 1533-position model. The record is from RNAcentral.
AUGCAGUCGAGGGGUAUAGUUCUUCGGAGCUAGAGACCGGCGCACGGGUGCGUAACGCGUAUGCAAUCUGCCUUUCACAAAGGGAUAGCCCAGAGAAAUUUGGAUUAAUACCUUAUAGUAUAUUUAUGUGGCAUCACAUGAUUAUUAAAGAUUUAUCGGUGAAAGAUGAGCAUGCGUCCCAUUAGCUGGUUGGUAAGGUAACGGCUUACCAAGGCAACGAUGGGUAGGGGUCCUGAGAGGGAGAUCCCCCACACUGGUACUGAGACACGGACCAGACUCCUACGGGAGGCAGCAGUGAGGAAUAUUGGACAAUGGGCGCAAGCCUGAUCCAGCCAUGCCGCGUGCAGGAUGACGGUCCUAUGGAUUGUAAACUGCUUUUAUACGGGAAGAAACCACUCUUCGUGAAGAGUACUGACGGUACCGUAAGAAUAAGGAUCGGCUAACUCCGUGCCAGCAGCCGCGGUAAUACGGAGGAUCCAAGCGUUAUCCGGAAUCAUUGGGUUUAAAGGGUCCGUAGGCGGCCUUACAAGUCAGUGGUGAAAUCUCCCGGCUCAACCGGGAAAUGGCCAUUGAUACUGUAGGGCUUGAAUUACCAGGAAGUAACUAGAAUAUGUAGUGUAGCGGUGAAAUGCUUAGAUAUUACAUGGAAUACCGAUUGCGAAGGCAGGUUACUACUGGUGGAUUGACGCUGAUGGACGAAAGCGUGGGUAGCGAACAGGAUUAGAUACCCUGGUAGUCCACGCCGUAAACGAUGGAUACUAGCUGUUGGGGGCAACUUCAGUGGCUAAGCGAAAGUGAUAAGUAUCCCACCUGGGGAGUA